AGCGUAGGCGGACUUUUAAGUGAGAUGUGAAAUACCCGGGCUCAACUUGGGUGCUGCAUUUCAAACUGGAAGUCUAGAGUGCAGGAGAGGAGAAGGGAAUUCCUAGUGUAGCGGUGAAAUGCGUAGAGAUUAGGAAGAACACCAGUGGCGAAGGCGCUUCUCUGGACUGUAACUGACGCUGAGGCUCGAAAGCGGUGGGGAGCAAACA
This 208-nucleotide ribosomal RNA is filed under the name uncultured bacterium. RNAcentral describes it as "partial 16S ribosomal RNA". It matches the Rfam family "Bacterial small subunit ribosomal RNA", at positions 568 to 774 of the family's 1533-position model. The record is from RNAcentral.